Molecule: ribosomal RNA, 269 nt
Filed under: uncultured bacterium
Lineage: Bacteria
Description: partial 16S ribosomal RNA
Rfam family: Bacterial small subunit ribosomal RNA
Source: RNAcentral
GACAUAGGUGGCAAGCGUUAUUCGGAAUUACUAGGCGUAAAGCGAGUGUAGGCGGACGAUUAAGUCCGAUGUUAAAUCUCCAGGCUUAACUUGGAGUCGCAUCGGAUACUGGUCGCCUCGAGUGGGGUAGGGGCAGUGGAAUUCCCAGUGUAGUGGUGAAAUACGUAGAGAUUGGGAAGAACACCAGUGGCGAAGGCGGCUAUCUGGACGGUUUCUGACGCUAAGACGCGAAAGCGUGGGGAGCAAACAGGAUUAGAAACCCCGGUAGU